This 631-nucleotide long non-coding RNA is filed under the name Homo sapiens (human). Its description in RNAcentral is "processed pseudogene". The record is from RNAcentral. Lineage: Eukaryota; Metazoa; Chordata; Mammalia; Primates; Hominidae.
AUGCCCGUCACCAAUCUGGGCCGCUUGGUCAAGGACAUGAAGAUCAAGUCCCUGGAGGAGAUCUCUUUCUUCUCCCUGCCCCAUUAAGGAAUCUGAAAUCAUUGACUUUUUCCUGGGGGCCUCUCUCGAGGACGAGGUUUUGAAGAUAAUGCCGGUGCAGAAGCAGACCCAUGCUGGCCAGCGCACAGGUUCAAGGCGUUUGUUGCUAUUGGGGACUACAAUGGCCACGUAGGCCUGGGUGUUAAGUGCUCCAAGGAGGUGGCCACCGCCAUCCGUGGGGCUAUCAUCCUGCCCAAGCUCUCCAUUGUCCCCGUGCACAGAGGCUACUGGGGGAACAAGACUGGCAAGCCCCACACCGUCCCUUGCAAGGUGACAGGCCUCUGUGGCUCUGUGCUGGCGCGCCUCAUCCCUUAACCCAGGGGCACUGGCAUCGUCUCCGCAUCUGUGCCCAAGAAGCUGCUCAUGAUGGCUGGUACUGAUGACUGCUACACCUCAGCCCGGGGCUGCACUGCCACCCUGGGCAACUUCGCCAAGGCCACCUUGAUGCCAUCUCUAAGACCUACAGCUACCUGACCCCCGACCUCUGGAAGGAGACUAUAUUUACCAAGUCUCCCUAUCAGGAAUUCACUGA